UCUUGCCUACGGGACGCAGCAGUGAGGAAUAUUGGUCAAUGGGCGCGAGCCUGAACCAGCCAAGUCGCGUGAGGGAGGACGGCCCUACGGGUUGUAAACCUCUUUUGCCGGGGAGCAAGGGCGGGGACGUGUCCCGGCCCGGAGAGUACCCGGAGAAAAAGCAUCGGCUAACUCCGUGCCAGCAGCCGCGGUAAUACGGAGGAUGCGAGCGUUAUCCGGAUUUAUUGGGUUUAAAGGGUGCGUAGGCGGGCUUUUAAGUCAGCGGUAAAAAUUCGGGGCUCAACCCCGUCCGGCCGUUGCAACUG
This 305-nucleotide ribosomal RNA is filed under the name uncultured bacterium. RNAcentral's name for it is "bacterial SSU rRNA". It matches the Rfam family "Bacterial small subunit ribosomal RNA", at positions 333 to 635 of the family's 1533-position model. The record is from RNAcentral.